RNAcentral lists this ribosomal RNA (447 nucleotides) under uncultured bacterium. RNAcentral describes it as "partial 16S ribosomal RNA". It matches the Rfam family "Bacterial small subunit ribosomal RNA", at positions 29 to 523 of the family's 1533-position model. The record is from RNAcentral.
AACGAACGCUGGCGGCAGGCUUAACACAUGCAAGUCGAGCGCCCCGCAAGGGGAGCGGCAGACGGGUGAGUAACGCGUGGGAAUCUACCCAUCUCUGCGGAACAACUCCGGGAAACUGGAGCUAAUACCGCAUACGCCCUUCGGGGGAAAGAUUUAUCGGGGAUGGAUGAGCCCGCGUUGGAUUAGCUAGUUGGAGGGGUAAUGGCCUACCAAGGCAACGAUCAGUAGCUGGUCUUAGAGGACGAUCAGCCACACUGGGACUGAGACACGGCCCAGACUCCUACGGGAGGCAGCAGUAGGGAAUAUUGGACAAUGGAGGAAACUCUGAUCCAGCCAUGCCGCGUGAGUGAUGAAGGCCUUCGGGUUGUAAAGCUCUUUGAUUGGAGACAAUAAUGAUGGUAUCCAAAGAACAAGCCCCGGCUAACUCUGUGCCAGCCGCCGCGGUAA